This 437-nucleotide ribosomal RNA is filed under the name Salmonella enterica. RNAcentral's name for it is "bacterial SSU rRNA". It matches the Rfam family "Bacterial small subunit ribosomal RNA", at positions 1 to 436 of the family's 1533-position model. Lineage: Bacteria; Pseudomonadati; Pseudomonadota; Gammaproteobacteria; Enterobacterales; Enterobacteriaceae. The record is from RNAcentral.
AAAUUGAAGAGUUUGAUCAUGGCUCAGAUUGAACGCUGGCGGCAGGCCUAACACAUGCAAGUCGAACGGUAGCACAGAGAGCUUGCUCUCGGGUGACGAGUGGCGGACGGGUGAGUAAUGUCUGGGAAACUGCCUGAUGGAGGGGGAUAACUACUGGAAACGGUGGCUAAUACCGCAUAACGUCGCAAGACCAAAGAGGGGGACCUUCGGGCCUCUUGCCAUCAGAUGUGCCCAGAUGGGAUUAGCUUGUUGGUGAGGUAACGGCUCACCAAGGCGACGAUCCCUAGCUGGUCUGAGAGGAUGACCAGCCACACUGGAACUGAGACACGGUCCAGACUCCUACGGGAGGCAGCAGUGGGGAAUAUUGCACAAUGGGCGCAAGCCUGAUGCAGCCAUGCCGCGUGUAUGAAGAAGGCCUUCGGGUUGUAAAGUACUUU